This is a non-coding RNA of Rattus norvegicus (Norway rat), 654 nucleotides long. The record is from RefSeq and is a predicted model, not a curated record. Lineage: Eukaryota; Metazoa; Chordata; Mammalia; Rodentia; Muridae.
GCUUUUCAUGUCAGGCAUCCGAUACUUAGCAUGGCAGGUUACACUGUCACUCAUUCCUGCAGGGUUUGACGCUGUCUCAACAUCUAUUUGUUCUGCAGAAUAUUUUUAGCAGGAGAUUGGGAGAAGGGCUGCUGAGAGAGUCGCUGGGGAAGAAAAAAAGCUGUCCUGAUGGAGGCUGUGUCACAUUCUUGAUGCUGAGGAUGAAGUGGAAACUUCUGGUUUCUUUGGAAAGUCAGUUAUGCUGAAUGAUGUUUUGCUGGGGCACAUGGGUGAAAGGAUGAUUUCCUGAAGGAGUCAUGUGGAAGAAUGUUUUCCUGAAGCAGACAUAGGUUCCUGUGGCUUCUGGCCCCCUCAGCAGCCUCAGGCUGGUUGCAAAACUUGUUGUUUCUUUGGGAUUGAACUGCUGCUGGUGACUUGUGUGUGGUGUCUGCCUGCCGAGAGGACUGGACUUCAGCUGUUGGUUCGUAUUUGGUGUUUGCUAUGGGACUGAACUGCUAAUAUCCUGACAAUGAAGAUUGGACUCACCCCCAAAGAACUAUGUCUAAUCAGGUCUACUUCCCCUGUGUCCUAAUAACUUUUCAUUUCCACUACCUCUUGUGAGGGGUGGGCUAAACAAGAGGUUGAACGUUUAUUAAAAUAGGCUGCAAAAUUUUA